GAUGAACGCUGGCGGCGUGCCUAAUACAUGCAAGUCGAGCGAACAGACGAGGAGCUUGCUCCUCUGACGUUAGCGGCGGACGGGUGAGUAACACGUGGAUAACCUACCUAUAAGACUGGGAUAACUUCGGGAAACCGGAGCUAAUACCGGAUAAUAUAUUGAACCGCAUGGUUCAAUAGUGAAAGACGGUUUUGCUGUCACUUAUAGAUGGAUCCGCGCCGCCUUAGCUAGUUGGUAAGGUAACGGCUUACCAAGGCAACGAUGCGUAGCCGACCUGAGAAGGUGAUCGGCCACACUAGAACUGAGACACAGUACAGACACCGCAGGGAGGCAGCAGUAGGGAAUCUUGAGCAAUGAGCGAAAGCCUGACGGAGCAACGCCGCGUGAGUGAUGAAGGUCUUCGGAUCGUAAACCUCUGUUAUUAGGGAAGAACAAGUGUGUAAGUAACUAUGCACGUCUUGACGAUCCCUAAUCAGAAAGCCACGGCUAACUACGUG
Molecule: ribosomal RNA, 497 nt
Filed under: uncultured bacterium
Lineage: Bacteria
Description: partial 16S ribosomal RNA
Rfam family: Bacterial small subunit ribosomal RNA
Source: RNAcentral